AAACUUAUUUCUCUCAUCCAAAUUCCAUAUGAAAAAGUUAAAACCUUUUGUCCACAUUCGCAAAUUAUUAUGUGUUCUUUGAUCUUAUUUUGCAUAAGUUUUUUUUUCCAUGUAAUUUUGCUUUUACUGAUUGAAACACUAUUUUCAUUUUACCGCAGCUCUGGUUGCUGCUAUUUGCCAUGAAGAUUGUAACUAUCAUCCACCAGAAUGGAGCAUAGACGUUGAUGAUGAUGAGGAUCCGCCUGAAGUUAGGAAAACUAAUCUACAUGCCGUUGAAGUAGCUAGCAUUGUUGAAUCAAAUUCAAACGGUUCCUCUAUUCUUCAAGUGAAGAAUAUACAUAUUAGUUCCAUCAUUUUAGCUGAAAAGAGUACUCAUUUUUAUGAGCUUUUCUCAAAUGAGGCAAGGGGUACUGAGGAGAGACAAGUAACUCUAAGAAUCCAUGCAUCAGGUAAAUAAACUUUUGUUCUCAUACGUUUCAUAACUAACAUGCAAACUUGGUGCA
Long non-coding RNA from Impatiens glandulifera, 503 nucleotides. RefSeq lists it as uncharacterized. The record is from RefSeq and is a predicted model, not a curated record. NCBI's taxonomy places the organism in Eukaryota, Viridiplantae, Streptophyta, Magnoliopsida, Ericales, Balsaminaceae. The transcript is spliced from 3 exons.